RNAcentral lists this ribosomal RNA (253 nucleotides) under uncultured bacterium. RNAcentral describes it as "partial 16S ribosomal RNA". It matches the Rfam family "Bacterial small subunit ribosomal RNA", at positions 524 to 776 of the family's 1533-position model. The record is from RNAcentral.
UACGUAGGGGGCAAGCGUUGUCCGGAUUUAUUGGGCGUAAAGAGCUCGUAGGCGGCCUGUUAAGUCGAACGUGAAAUCCCCGGGCUCAACCCGGGAACUGCGUCCGAUACUGGCAGGCUUGAGUCCGGGAGAGGGAUGCGGAAUUCCAGGUGUAGCGGUGAAAUGCGUAGAUAUCUGGAGGAACACCGGUGGCGAAGGCGGCAUCCUGGACCGGCACUGACGCUGAGGCGCGAAAGCCAGGGGAGCAAACGGG